Molecule: regulatory RNA element, 62 nt
Organism: Thermomonospora curvata DSM 43183
Lineage: Bacteria; Bacillati; Actinomycetota; Actinomycetes; Streptosporangiales; Thermomonosporaceae
Rfam family: Actino-pnp RNA
Source: Rfam
GCCGGUCCUCGGUAGUGGCCUUGCGGAUCCACGCGAUCCGCGGGCUUCGAUCGAAGACCGGC